GCAGUCGAACGAACUCUGGUAUUGAUUGGUGCUUGCAUCAUGAUUUACAUUUGAGUGAGUGGCGAACUGGUGAGUAACACGUGGGAAACCUGCCCAGAAGCGGGGGAUAACACCUGGAAACAGAUGCUAAUACCGCAUAACAACUUGGACCGCAUGGUCCGAGUUUGAAAGAUGGCUUCGGCUAUCACUUUUGGAUGGUCCCGCGGCGUAUUAGCUAGAUGGUGGGGUAACGGCUCACCAUGGCAAUGAUACGUAGCCGACCUGAGAGGGUAAUCGGCCACAUUGGGACUGAGACACGGCCCAAACUCCUACGGGAGGCAGCAGUAGGGAAUCUUCCACAAUGGACGAAAGUCUGAUGGAGCAACGCCGCGUGAGUGAAGAAGGGUUUCGGCUCGUAAAACUCUGUUGUUAAAGAAGAACAUAUCUGAGAGUAACUGUUCAGGUAUUGACGGUAUUUAACCAGAAAGCCACGGCUAACUACGUGCCAGCAGCCGCGGUAAUACGUAGGUGGCAAGCGUUGUCCGGAUUUAUUGGGCGUAAAGCGAGCGCAGGCGGUUUUUUAAGUCUGAUGUGAAAGCCUUCGGCUCAACCGAAGAAGUGCAUCGGAAACUGGGAAACUUGAGUGCAGAAGAGGACAGUGGAACUCCAUGUGUAGCGGUGAAAUGCGUAGAUAUAUGGAAGAACACCAGUGGCGAAGGCGGCUGUCUGGUCUGUAACUGACGCUGAGGCUCGAAAGUAUGGGUAGCAAACAGGAUUAGAUACCCUGGUAGUCCAUACCGUAAACGAUGAAUGCUAAGUGUUGGAGGGUUUCCGCCCUUCAGUGCUGCAGCUAACGCAUUAAGCAUUCCGCCUGGGGAGUACGGCCGCAAGGCUGAAACUCAAAGGAAUUGACGGGGGCCCGCACAAGCGGUGGAGCAUGUGGUUUAAUUCGAAGCUACGCGAAGAACCUUACCAGGUCUUGACAUACUAUGCAAAUCUAAGAGAUUAGACGUUCCCUUCGGGGACAUGGAUACAGGUGGUGCAUGGUUGUCGUCAGCUCGUGUCGUGAGAUGUUGGGUUAAGUCCCGCAACGAGCGCAACCCUUAUUAUCAGUUGCCAGCAUUAAGUUGGGCACUCUGGUGAGACUGCCGGUGACAAACCGGAGGAAGGUGGGGAUGACGUCAAAUCAUCAUGCCCCUUAUGACCUGGGCUACACACGUGCUACAAUGGAUGGUACAACGAGUUGCGAACUCGCGAGAGUAAGCUAAUCUCUUAAAGCCAUUCUCAGUUCGGAUUGUAGGCUGCAACUCGCCUACAUGAAGUCGGAAUCGCUAGUAAUCGCGGAUCAGCAUGCCGCGGUGAAUACGUUCCCGGGCCUUGUACACACCGCCCGUCACACCAUGAGAGUUUGUAACACCCAAAGUCGGUGGGGUAACCUUUUAGGAACCAGCCGCCUA
Molecule: ribosomal RNA, 1436 nt
Filed under: Lactiplantibacillus plantarum
Lineage: Bacteria; Bacillati; Bacillota; Bacilli; Lactobacillales; Lactobacillaceae
Description: bacterial SSU rRNA
Rfam family: Bacterial small subunit ribosomal RNA
Source: RNAcentral